UAGGGAAUAUUGCUUAAUGGGCGCAAGCCUGAAGCAGCAACGCCGCGUGUGCGAUGACGGCCUUCGGGUUGUAAAGCACUUUUCACCGGGAAGAGGAAGGACGGUACCGGUGGAAUAAGCCUCGGCUAACUACGUGCCAGCGGCCGCGGUAAUACGUAGGGUGCGAGCGUUAAUCGGAAUUACUGGGCGUAAAGCGUGCGCAGGCGGUUUUGUAAGACAGAUGUGAAAUCCCCGGGCUUAACCUGGGAACUGCGUUUGUGACUGCAAGGCUGGAGUACGGCAGAGGGGGGUGGAAUUCCACGUGUAGCAGUGAAAUGCGUAGAGAUGUGGAGGAACACCGAUGGCGAAGGCAGCUCCCUGGGUUGACACUGACGCUCAUGCACGAAAGCGUGGGGAGCAAACA
RNAcentral lists this ribosomal RNA (403 nucleotides) under uncultured bacterium. RNAcentral's name for it is "bacterial SSU rRNA". It matches the Rfam family "Bacterial small subunit ribosomal RNA", at positions 355 to 774 of the family's 1533-position model. The record is from RNAcentral.